AGACAAGCCCAGGUUAGAAGAGAGGUGGGACUGGGAGGGUAGCUGAAACUGCAGCCACUGUCAGUGCUCUACAUGGAAAUGUUCCUGUGUUUAAUAGCAGGGUGCUAUUAAAGAGCACCUAAUAGCGAGGGGCUUUGGAUGCCAGUGCUGGAGCAGAACCCCCAUCCCAGGUAAGUGUGCAGGAAAAGGCUGGGGACUGUUGGUUCAGAGCCUGGAGGAAUCUCCUGGCAUGCUGGUACUGAAGCACCUUGCACAGUGUGGUGAGAACACGCAGCAGUGUCUGGCUCGGGAGGUGGCCCUGGCAGCACACGUCAUGCAGUGAUUUAUGGCAUCUCUGGUGCCCUUGUAUUUCAGUGCUGCAGUGCAUGGCGAAUAUAAAAUCACUUCUGAAUUGAGGGAGGGCCAGAUGGGUGGCAAUAAUGCAAUUAUAUCUGUCAUGGACAUAAUCACAUUAACCUCGGUGUGCCCAGUACCUCUGGAGAAAAACCCAGCUCCUUAUCUGCAGGUGUCUGCAGACCGAACUCACCUCCGUUUGUGUUGAAAAUUAAACUCAUGGCUUUUAAAUGCUGCUUCUGAUGAUAACUAAGAAGAAUGGCAGAGCCCCUCUACUCUAAAGAUGUGUAUUUACUGUACUGAUCCCUGCUGGCCCCACUUCAGGCACAAUUUUCAGCUUCCAAACACCAUUUGACACCCUGUGUUUUUUGCUGUCCCUAUCUGAAAUCCAGCUUUCCUGGGCCAGAUCGUCAGUUCACCCACACCAGCACACAGACCUGACAGUGCAGCUACAGCACGUGAUCCCAGUCCGAGAGGCAGCGUGCAGACUGAAGCUCACCUACACUGUGUAAUUAGACACCUAAUUAACAACCUUAUCUCUUGAUAGAGUCGGAGGAGCCGCAGGCAGUGAUUGAGACAGCAGGGGAGCCCAGGCAGCUCCUCUGGGAGCCCGAUGCUGAAGGACAGUGUGGUGCUGUGGGUGCGUUACCCAGGAUCUGCAGAGCAGAACAUGGCUCUCCAAUUCCCCAGCACCCUUUGUGAGCUACACUGGCCUUGCAGGCAGACAAUGGGAUGGCUAUUCACGUGCAUCAGGCUUCUGAUGGUAUUAGACAGACCCCUGAUUAAACCACAGCCUUUUGAUCCCCCCAUGAAUUAUUACUUGGAGUCAAGCUCUUUAAAAAUCUAUCUACAGCCCCACUGUGCGUGCAGCUGGAGCUAAAUUUGCCAUAUACAUAUUUUAUUUAUAGGGAGGAGUGACAGCGAUGGGCGAGGAGGUGGCAAGCAGGCAAGCAGCACGGUGCUCAGGCAGCCCGCAUCCUGCAGCAGCUCCUCCAGCCCCUCACUGUACCCCCAGCUGCUCCCCCCACGCAGCUCCACCAGCCCACGCUCAGCUCUGCCAGGCCGCUGCUCCUCAGCUGCUGGCACAAAUGUCAAUAAAACCCAGAGAGAUUGUUCUGCCCGCUAAAGAGCUAUUUAUCUUUCUUUGUACACAAAUGGCUGGGAAAAUACUAGCCGAGCUUUCCAAGAAAGAGAGAGUAAUACAGUGUAUUUUCCCCUUGUAGCAACAGGGGUGCAAUUACAUUCAAACAAGGCUCUUUACUCAGAGUCUUUAAGCGAAGUCCAAGUCUGGGUUUUGCAGAGAUAUUUUCUCUUUCUAUGCUGGACAGAAAGCCAACAGCCGGGAGCAGCAGUGCACGGCCGGGCUGCCAGGAGCACAGAGGAACCUCCAGGAGGUACCACAGCACAGCCUGACUGCAGGGCAGCCCUGGAGGGCACCGCUGGCUGCCAAACCCUCACCAUCUCUGCAUGGAGCAAGCGGAUGGGAUGCAGCUUCCGUCAUCUAAUGGCUGUCUUUCAAACAGGACUCAGUAUUCCAAUAAAAGUGACUUGCUGGACAAAAAGGCCAGUGAAGAAAAGCAAUGCCAGGAUAGCGCAGUGUCUCCCAGCUGAGCUGUCCCAGGUGAGCAUGCAGCUCCCAGCUCUCCUUACACUGCUGCCACAGAGCAAGGUCUGUUCCCUGCAUGUAUUUCCUACCUUUGAAUUGCUUUGAACUUUUUUUUUCCAAAUUUGCAAACGCAGCAGUGUUCAUCUCUGCUGCCUUCUGAGUUUCAAUAGUUAUUCUCCUGCUGCUUGUGUAAUCCUAUGAGAAAAGCUCCUCUAGAUGUUAAGAAAUCUGAAGCUGCCACUGUAAGUGGAGAAUCAGUGGGCAAACCUGGCAGUUUUAUUAGCUAUGGAGACAAGAGGGGACAUUUUAUAAAAAAAUGCAGGUCAAAAAAGGGCACUGGAUCUCAUUUAAUUUAGCAACUUCAUUAAUUCUAUUUCUGAUGCAUCUGACCUGGAAUACUUUCUAUUUUUGCUUUUAAAUCCCUGUGUUCAAGUCUCUGCCUUUCAUAUGGUCCCACACACUGCUGGCAUGUAAUAUUAACUCACCCGAGAGCUAGAGACUGUAUGACUGGAAAUGUUAAUGGCACUGUGCAAUGCAUAUUUCAUCUGAUAAUUCCACCCAAGCAGAGAUAAAUUACACAUGCAGUUACCAGCUUCCAUCUGCUGAUGAAAGAGAUGGGCUAAUGCACAUUUGAAAUCAUGCGCAGUUUCCAGCACUAUGAACAACUUGUGUGAACAGAGUUUUUCACAGAAGCAAUUCUUAAUGUGAUUAAUUACUGAAGGUAUCAGGGCCUUUGUUAUGCAAGUGAGAACUGUCAUAAAGCAGAGUUUGCAGGUCCUGGAGGUAGACUUUGUCCAUGAAGUGCACUUCCCCAUGAACACGGAGCAGAAGGAGCAGCCCUGAGGGAGCUGCAGGAGCCAGGGCCCUCCUGGAACCUGGGGCAGAGGCUCGCUGUGCUUCUGAAGCAGGAGAACCCCUGCUGGAAGUACUUUGUGCACUCAAAGGACGAUGUCACAGGUCUGCUAAUGGCCUGUUUCUUCCUGCAGCUGUACUUUCCUCAGCCAGCCCAGGCUGCUGUUCAGUCCCGCUCCCAGUGCAGCCCUGGCACUAUGGGCAGAGGAACCUCUGCUCAGCUCUGCUCCCCUGCAGGAGGCUCUGUGGGAUCCUUACCACUGCAGCAGGAUCUUGGUUGGACCAGGACCCUGACCCCACCAUGCCAAGAGGCCUCUCCCCGUCCCAUUGCCUGAUGCUGACUGAGUGCCAUGCUAGGAAUUCAUCCCACGGCAAAUCCAAGUAUUUCAGGUUCAGGAAUGUUAUUACCACCAAAUCAAACUGGCCCGAAUGGCGUGGGUACAGGGUGUUAUCUCAACUUCUGUUUGAAUUAUUGAUGCUUGGAGGGCUGCUGCUUGGGAAUGACGCCACCACCGCCCCAUGCACUUUCCUCUCAGCAAGCGCAGAUUACUGGUGCUUUGGAUCUGACAAAUGAGCCCUGUCAGUUCCCAUACCCUUUGUGCCACUGGCUGUAGCUCAGCCUUAAGUCCCACCAGAGAGGCACUGCAUGCCCUGCUGCACACCUCUGCCAGGACACACACACAGGUCACCCUGAGCCCCGCAGGCUCUGUCUGGAAGCUGCUGUCUCCUGCCCUUCUCUUUGCUCCUCCUGGAAAGCCAGCACCACUGGAAUCCUCCGUGGGGCCACGGGGCCGUGGCCGGUCUGAAUGGGGCUGGGCAUAGUCUGGGGCUGCGCACAGUAGCUGGGCAACACACACACAAAGCCCGGCAGGAAGCGGCGCGGCCCAGAGCGCACCUCCUGCCCACUGGAAAAAUAAGAAUUUAUGGACCUUGGAAACAUAAAACUGCCCAGGGGAAAGCAGAAACCAAGCAGGGAGUACAAUAGGCAAGGAGAAUGCUGGCAAAGUACCCAAAGUCCUUUUCUUCUCAUUUAAAUGAGCUCUUUUCCCCCAGCCUGCGCUCUGCAGGCACUGCAGGCCGUCCCCGCUGUGACCUGGGGCCGGGCGCUGCCAGAGCGCGGUAGCGGUGCUGACAUCCCUGACCGCGGCCGGGGCUGCAGACUUGUGCCUGGCCUCAGCUUUGAUCUGCGUCGGCAAGGAGAGCCCUGUGGCUUGGGCCAGCCCUGGGUGACUGAUCCGUGCAGCUGCUACGUGCUGCCUGGAGCCACUGCGCCCGGCGUGGCAGUUCUGCUUAGGUGCACGAGCUGGAGACAACUUGUCAAAUAUCUAUGAUGAAAGGAUUUAUGGGAAAAGCCAGUCUAUGACUCUGUGUUUCCUCAACAGACCUCAUCCAAGGUAUGUGAAAGUGUUUCCUGGCCCUGGCUUAGCCCAGCAGGCAGGCAGUGGCCAAGAUGGGAGCUGGGAGCAGAGAUACAGGCACGUUUUUGGAGGGCAGGGGAUGGACUCCAGGACGAAGGGCCCCAGCACUUGGAUCUAGCUGAAGGCCAGCCCUCCUCAGCCCCCCCCACACCCCUCAUUGCUGGGGCUCUCUUGGCGAGCUGUGCUACACCUCCAGCUCUUACUUUGACAACUUCACAGUGACACGUGUCCACAGGCACAGGUUUACAUUCAUCUGAAGAAGUGAAGAAAGCUAACAGCUGCUCUGCAACUUUCUGCCCUGACCACAGGUCACCUCACUGACUAUUAGGCUUCCUGUUUCACCUGGACACCACACACCAGUACCAGGAUCCUGAGGGCAACAACAGGCCUUAAUGGUCCUGACCAGCCCCACCUGCAGCCUCUAUUCACACCCAUACACAAGGUAUGUAGGCUCCACUUCAGCUCAGCUCAGGGCCCUCAGCUCUCUCUGGAGCUCCAGUGUGGGUAUGUUAGUCUCCAGGUGAGCUGUGGCCAGGCCUGGCUGUGGACCUGCUGAUCCUGACUUCCCAGUGUGGCUUCAGCAGGCUGAACUAUGCUGCAGAUUGGAAAGGGGAGAGGGAUGAAAUUGCAAAAACCCUGCUUAAGCUAGCAAAGUAUUUGCAUUUGUGGAGUUUCCAGUUUGGCACUGUCAGUGCUGUAUGGGUGGCUUUAUGCUGCAGCUCUCUGCAGCCAGGUGCAUCCAAAGCUCUAGGCCAGCAGCAGGGCGCUGCAGCUGUGUGUAGCUGGUUCCUGGCUUAGCUCAUAAAUGCAGCUCCUAAAGUACCCUCUUGAAAGUUGCCUGUAUUUGGGAAAGGGUGUAUGAACUUGGCCUGACUGCUCUGAAUUCUGGCUUUGGCUGUGUUUCAGCUCUCUGCAGGGAUUUAGGCAUUUUCUGUCUCUUUUUAUGAUACUUCUUAGGGGACCGAGGUUUCUGGAAGAAGCACCACCAGGAACGCUGGGCAUGCCCGGCCUGGCUGCCUUGUGCUAACUCCUAUUUUGGCUUAGGAGACAAUCUCUGAGGUGGUUCAUAACAGUGAAAACACAAGAGUGCUUGGGGUCUAGCAAUAAACCGCCUCUAGGGUGCUGUACCACAUGCUGCCCUCCUGCCAAAGUUUUGGAAGCUGCAGAGAAGCAAUCUGUGGGACCAGGCUUUCUGGAUGCUCCCUCCUGACAACAGCUUUCAGGCUCCAGUUGUAUUAAAAGGAAGUGCUGUCUCAUUGCUUCAGCUCGGGCAGCUUGUACAGCCUCUGCAUCCCCUUGCAGACACCAUCAUCCCAGGACUCUGUCCCUCACCCUGGUGGAGUGAGGGUCCACUGAGAAAUUGAGGUAAACAAGCACUGUUUGGAAAUACUUGUUUUCAGGAAAGGAGCUGUAUGGCUUAGCAAAAUGUGUCUGACAAUUUUCUGCUUUCAUAAAUAUUCAAAACCAGCAGCACUGGGAGCUGACUAAUCUGAAGGCUUUCCCUUGAACAGAGCUUUCCUUUCAUCACGUCUUUUUCCAGACAUAAAUUCUGAGCCAUAGCUUCUCCCUAGGAUGGGCAGAUGUUAACUGGAGUCCUAGCAUGGGAAACUGAGGCAGGAUGAUUCAUCAGGAGUUCACCUGGCAAGUCAAGGCAGAGCAGAGAGCUGAAAUUGGGAGUUUCCAGCACCCGCUCAUGUGCUACCCAUCUGCAAAGGGGCUGGCAGCUGGAGGGAGAGCUGUGUGGCAGUCAGAUUCAUCUGCUGGCAGUGAUUUGCAUGGGUGAACACCACAACAGCCCUGCAAUCCACCUGUACCCUGGUGUGAGGCCCUGGUGCCUGCAAUGCGCAAAUGUUUCUGUUACUGUGCCAUGCUGUCCUUCAGCAGCUGAUCGGAGCAUCAGCUCUUCCCUGUCUUGAGUGAUUAAUUGGUUUCAGUAAUGAAGUAGUGUCUUAGGACUCUACCCCCAAGGACUCUCAUGUACCAAGCACUGAGUGUACAUGAACGUGGCUCUUAUCCCAAAGCUGCUGAGCUACUACAGGCAAAAAGUGCUAAUUUCAUCAGAAGCAGGUCAUGUUCACCUGAAAUAACCCUUGGAAGUGAAAUUGCAAUUAUACACUGGGACACCUUCAAGUAAUUCUGUAUUUCCCUAUAAACAACAAUGUUGAGACCCUGGCAAAGAAGGUCUGUUCUCUUACAUGCAGUGUUUCAUAUCCUGGUUGCCCUCUAAUCUGGUGCACAGGACAAGAGGCAAGUUAGAGACUGAAUUCUGCCCAGGCAAAGGCAGCUGGAGGGGUUGGGCUGAGAGCUGCACUGUGUGCUACAAUGGAGAGGAAGGAUCCGUGCUCCUGAGGCUCAGUGCAAGGCAGGUGUCACAUAUGGAAGGCAGAGAACAGAAGGCCUGUGUGCUCCAAGUGAUUAGUAAGUCAGCCCCUUGCUCCCAGGAGGGCCAGGUAUCCAUCCUUUCAGCCUCUGUGACUUCUGCAUGCUGGGGAGAAAUAACACACUGCUUGUGUCUGUCUGGCAUAUUCUUAUCCAAGGGAGGAGGAGGAACCUAGUUUACUGUUGAGAAAAUCUGGAGAAGCUGCAUCUGCUUGGCCACCACCCUCUUUUGGCACACAGUGCAGGGAGGGACCAUCUCCUGGCUUCUAACGUGCUAUCAUGCACUAUGUACAUUUUAGGUGCUGUCAUCCUGCCCUGUGUCUCAUGGUUUCUGCUAGCACACUACUAGAGGAUUUAGCAUUUUCUUUGCGUAUCUGCAGCAGAUGUAGGAAGCUGGACUUGGCAUCUCUAGCUUUGAGCAAGGAGAAUUCAAGCUAGAAUGAGGACAUGACCUCCAUUUGCAUUCAGAAAAAGCACUUGAUUACAAACUAGACCAGAAUGAGAAUGUGAGGGAUGCUGAGCUGCUUAAUGUGCUGCUUGGUGCAGACCAGGUUUCAUGCCUCAUUUGCUAGGUGCAAUCAGGCUUCGUUCUCUUUCACUGCAGAAAGCCCUUUGCUAGCUCAAGCCCUGGGUGCAGAUGAACUGUUCCAUUUCUCAAUGCCAGCUACUUUCACGAACAGCCUUGCCAUGUCCUGGUCUGAGAGUCAGGGACUGAAAUAAUCUGCUUUAUUCCCACACAAGGAGCCUUUCCUGUGUGGCUGUUAAUACUAUCAAUCUCCAACAGUUCCACUUGAGGAAACACUUCUCACAGAAAGCCCAGAGCCUCCAAGCACUGCACAAGUCUGCAUCUGUGAGCACCAGCAGUGCAGCAGCUCCACCCAGAACAGCCCAUUGAGCUUGGAGGCUGCCAGCUGCUGCAGGGCCACAGAGGCCAUGCCUGUAGGGUCUGUUUGCAAAGGCAGCGAGCAGUGCUCCCAGCUGAGCAGCCUGCCUCCUUAGAAAAGCCAGCAGGCAGGGCUGCUGCCCAGAUGUGGGUCGUUAGGGAUAUUCUGGAGCACGCCAUUCCGGUUGACUUGAGAAGGAUUUAAAAUUGCCAACAGACUGAAGUGAACUUUCUCUGUGGAAGAGAAGAUCUCUGAUUUCUUAAUGUGUCCACAAAAUUAUAUUCUUCCAUUUGGAAACAAGACUCUUACUAGAUGAGAGGAAAAACUCAAUGCUAAUUGUGUCAUUUCCAAAACUCAAGAAUAUUAAGCUGCUCAAGGACUCUUUUAGCCUCAGGGGAGCUAAUGAGGUUAGUGAAUCAUGAUGAGAAACACAGCACUAGUUCAGAUAGCUUCUGCUGCACUGGGCAAAGUGGGCAGAGCUCAGGGCAGCACGUGGGAAAGGCUGGACCUGGCAGCAUUCCCUGCUCCAGCUUCACCUGCCCUGGGCUUGAACACAGGGAAGCAAGAGAACAGGAGAUCAGCAUUGCCUCAGGCAAAAACGUGGAUAGAAUCCAAUGUUUCAGGUCUGGAGGUUUAGGACUCAUAAUCAUUAACUGCAGGAAGCUGCAGCAGGACCAAAGCAGCCCACGCUGCCCUGGGGUCUCUGAACCUCAGUGCUUUGUGUCCUGCAGCAGGUACAGGACAGAGCUGCCCUACUCAAAGCAAAUGACACGAUGCCAUGUUUCCUGCUCGCUGCAGGGGAGAGGGCAGGUGUGUUUAUGGAGUCUCUCUGAUCCCUCAGGAAUGGCUGUGUGAAAGCCCUUAAAGGAUUUAGCAGUGACAGAAGGCUGGAGGAAGGGGGAAGUGAUUCAGGUGUCCUGAAAAUAGUCCAUAUAACCCAUCUGGCCCAUGGAAACACCAUUUAGAGAAUGUCUUCCUGCUCCCUAAUCAAAGUAUCCCGCCCCCCAGGGAUUCAUUUGAGAUUUUUAUUCUGUAGAUUUAUCAUUCAGUUAUUUGGUGAAAACAUGAAGUAGCUUGUCACAGUACUGUGCUCAGCAGCACGGAUUCUGUUUGCCUUCAGGAUGCAUUUAGUAUAGAGCUAAAGCAGGAUGAAGGAAACAAACACAUAACCAAUCAAGCUCUUGUUAGCAAAUCUUAUUCUGCUAGGCUUAGUUUUGCGUUGUAUGGUGCCCCAGGACAGCGAUCCAUGCAGUACAGGGCGCUUUUACGCUAGGCAAGAAUCAGGGCAGCGUGUACAAAGGAGCAUCUAUGAAUGCACCCAUCCUUGUGGCAUUAGGUACAGCCAUUCUCCCACACAGACACCCAACCUUAGAACCAGAAAGGCUGACAGUGUACACCCUUAAAUGCAUGAGCAGAGCCUCCCUGCCCUCCCAGCACCAUGGAGGCACUCCAUGCUGUACUGCCCUUGUCCACACAGCUGUCACUCAGACUAGGGCUCCUCCUCAUUAACAAGCUAAUCCAAUCUGCUUGCUACUCUCUGGUUGCCAUCUCAAUUACAAUUUUUCAGACACCAAUAACGAAGCAGCUUUGAGCCAAGGCUGAUUGCACUACACCAGCAUGUAAUUUGAAAGCCAUUACAUUUCAUCUCUGUAACACUCUAGAAGCAGUAAUACAGCUGCUGAAAAAGCAACUUUAUUUCAAACCAGAUAAAAGCUUUGCAGAGAUCUCAUAUGCUGAUAUUUGAGCUAGCGAAUUCAAAAGCUUUUGUGAAAUAACGAUAAUAGAGCCACUUUAUUUUACACUUAAGAUACCUGCCUCAAUGCCAAGAUCUAGCAUCAGACAGAGUCUUGUUCUGUUUAGUGCUAACAUUUUAAUUUAGCUUUUCUCCAACAGCUGAUUUCGUUAGCCUUGAACUAAGCACCAACCCAUCAUGACUCGUAUGCAAAACAACAGGAAUGUGCCUCGCUUGUCCCACCCCUCAUGGAGGAGCCCCAGGUUUUGGCACUCUCACCAAGGCACUCAGAGGUGACUUGCCUGGAGAUGGCACGUUUCACUGACUGAUCCGCCCACCCAUCUGUUAUCAAUCCUAUCGCUGUGCUCUCUGAGCAGAGAUGGGAGCUGAAGCAGCGACAACCACCGGUCCCUGCUGGAAAACCAGGUCAUGAUGUGAGGCCAGAGAAGGAGCUCUGAGAUGUCCUCCAUUCCAUCAGCACAGUCACAUCUAACCCUGUUCAACAGCUCAGCGAUGGCAGAAAACAACUAACUGCUGUCCUGUGGCAAGAAGGCCAGAGAUGGGGUGGGUUGCAGACAAGCAGGGGCCGGGCUCUCUCCAAAAGGAGUUUGUUCCUCUCCUCUCACAACAAGUGGAGCACAGCCAGCUCCCCACCACAGCCAUGCAGCGCUGCUUAGGAACAGCGUGUGCUGCCAUGGCAAAAAGAGCUCAGCAGGAGCUUCUUCCCUUUGUGCUAUGGCAGUGCAAGCAGCAGAAAUCAGAAUAAGCUCGGGUUAGGCCACGAUGUGGCAGACUGAAUUCCUCCAGGAAAGCAUCUGCUACAUUUUUAAAGCCAGUGCUUCAGCUUAUGAAAAUUAAAUGAUCCAUACAGCGGGUAAAGCGGCAUAUAUACGAGAUGUGCUUGAGCCUGUCAAGGUGACCACGGGCUGGAGGCUACACAGAGAGGCUGAGCAAAGCUCCACAGACCCUCAUGACACAGCUGGGCCUCUGCUGCCCUGCUGGUGGGACUGGGCAGCCAUAAGAGCCCCUGUGUUCCCUGGGCCUCCCUCAGAGCCCACUCUAUGCUCCAGGCUCUGCUCAAGCUGCACAAAAUAGAAGAAAACAAACUAAUGAAGCAUUAGGGUUAAACUCAGCUGCAAUUAAUGCUUAAUUACCACCCUGAAAACACUUGCUCUACUUUGCCAGGGCCUAGAAAGAUAAAACCAAUUAGCUUAAUCUUGUGUGAUAGAAACCUUAAACUGCCUCUGAUGACUUCUGGGAAGGAAUCCCGGGAGUACCUGGAGGAGCCCUGGAGCUGAGGGCCCAGGGCUGUCAUUAGCUGAGCACUUGGAUGCUCUUCCAAAGAGGCUGAAAAGAAAAGCCCUCCAGGAACUGCAGCAGAGAAUGACUCCCAUCCAAAACCAACAGAUCCUGGCAAGCAGCUACAUAGGUCUAUAGCAGGGCAAGCAUUCCACCACUGCAUGGGAGGACUCUUACAUGUGAGCCUGUGCUUCAGCUGCAGCAGAGCCAACCGUUUAAUUAUAAUGGGAGAGGCUGCAGGGAUUAACCAAGAAAGCUGAGCUGACCGCUGUGAGUUCAGCUUCUACUUUUUUCUUUUUGCUCAGCUUUGAACACAGUAACUAAAGAAGAGCACACAGGCAGAGAAAUCUGUGCAGCAGCAAUCAUGGCUAACUUCUCUUCUGCAAUAAGAAGUGAGUCUUCCUAGGGAAACUGAAGGAAUUGCGCUCUAAAAGAAUACCACUGUCAGGUCAGUCAGACAUCUCUACCUCUGGACUCCCACCACUCAGGGAUGAAUUAAGCUGAGAUGGCUGAAGUAGUCACCCUGCCCUCCACCACCUGUCUGCCUGGUUCCUCCAUUUCUGUAGCAAGAGCAGACAAAUGACACCUCUAUUUGCUCCCAAACCACUGCAGUUCACAGCCCGGCAUGGCUCUCAUUGUGAGCUGCCCAAUGAUGUCCACCCAGCCCUCAGACUGGGAGCUGCAGCAGAGGCAGAUCUCUGCUCCUUUGCUUUACCAGAGUCUGAAGGACUCUUAACUUCCACUCAUCUGGAUAUAAACUGAUGUCAUGCCAUGCUUCAGCUACUGGCUGAUAUUUGGCCAGUUGAUAUGAUUUACUGUGUGGGUUGGACUGAACUUUCUCACUAGAAUACUGUCUUGGCAAAAUGCUGAGUCUAUGUUUAAGAGCACGAGAGCAGCAAGAAGAAUUAGGAUGAGGGUGAGACUGGAGUGAGAACCUGGUUCUUGUGCCAAGGAGAACUCAGGCCUUUCAGAUGUGUCCUGUGCUAAGAUUUAUAAAUGUUUCCGUUGGCAUACUAGGCACUGGGGUAAGCUUCUCAAUUACAUUAAGCCUAAGAAAUAUGGCAGUUAACAGAAGAAACGAGAUUCCUGCCUCCUGUUUGUUCAUCCUGGUGCUUGGAUGGGCCCAGCACCAGUAGCCUGUUCCCUUAUGAAAUGAUUAAAAUGAAUAAGCAGCUCGACGUCUGGCUGUUUUCAAAGUGUUAAUUCCUGCUCAGGUCUCAGACAGACCUUCCAGACAGCCCUGAAAUUUCUAGGCUUUGUAAAAUCCUAAGUGCAAAUUCCAGAGAAGCUGACUCUCUGCUUUGGAGGUAAUUAAGUGGAGUGACUGAGGCACUGCUGGUAGCCUGGUGUGUGUGGACACCUCUCCUGAAGGCUCUUUGGACCGUUCAGAUAGCAGCACUUCACUGGUGCUGCUGCAGGCAGAUUCCAGCUGGCCUUCUUCAGGCAGUGUUAGUGCUGGGAGCUGGGGAAAGCACGCAGGAGAUGUUGCAGUGUUAGCCCUCCACAUAAAGCCAUUCUUUCCACGGUCUCACAGAGCAAGAUUUUGUGUGUGUUUUACAGAGCUCAUCCCUACCCUGAGGCCGUGCCCAGAAGCAAUGCUAGUGAAGCUUUCCUGGCACUGUUGUUCCAAUGUUGCCAGUGCUCCAAAUCUCCAAACUUCAGUGAGAGCCUUCACCUGGCUAAGGGAGGAACUCGCUCAUUUAGUUCCCAUCUAAUAGGCAGCCAGGAGCAGAGCAUCCAGGGAGAAGGUGACCCUUCUGAAUCAUGGAGCUAUCUGGACCAUCAAGGACUUCAUGUUCUUUCCAUUAGCUGCCGUUUGAGUUCUGCAGGAAGAAAAGUCUUG
Long non-coding RNA from Lagopus muta (rock ptarmigan), 12346 nucleotides. RefSeq lists it as uncharacterized. The record is from RefSeq and is a predicted model, not a curated record. Lineage: Eukaryota; Metazoa; Chordata; Aves; Galliformes; Phasianidae. The transcript has 3 exons.